This 411-nucleotide ribosomal RNA is filed under the name bacterium enrichment culture clone ALO1_GLFRUDD03GN5X8. RNAcentral describes it as "bacterial SSU rRNA". It matches the Rfam family "Bacterial small subunit ribosomal RNA", at positions 9 to 420 of the family's 1533-position model. The record is from RNAcentral.
GAGUUUGAUCCUGGCUCAGAUUGAACGCUGGCGGCAUGCCUUACACAUGCAAGUCGAACGGCAGCACGGGAGCUCGCUCCUGGUGGCGAGUGGCGAACGGGUGAGUAAUGCAUCGGAACGUAUCCUGGAGUGGGGGAUAACGUAGCGAAAGUUACGCUAAUACCGCAUAUUCUGUGAGCAGGAAAGCGGGGGACCUUCGGGCCUCGCGCUCUUGGAGCGGCCGAUGUCGGAUUAGCUAGUUGGUGAGGUAAAGGCUCACCAAGGCGACGAUCCGUAGCAGGUCUGAGAGGAUGAUCUGCCACACUGGAACUGAGACACGGUCCAGACUCCUACGGGAGGCAGCAGUGGGGAAUUUUGGACAAUGGGGGCAACCCUGAUCCAGCCAUGCCGCGUGAGUGAAGAAGGCCUCGG